AGCUUGGAUUGUGCGAGUUGUUGAUUAAAUAUAACACAAGAGAUCUAUCUUUUCUACGAUGUUAACACCAUUUAUGAAUCGUUUCCUAUCAAAUCAAUUUGAUGGUAAUACGGCAUGGGCACUUGUUCGAAUUUGGUUCACUCCUUUUCAUGAGGAGGCUGUGGGAUAUUAUUCGAGUUUUAGGAAACUCCUGGUCAAAACCACCGAUUGAUACUGAAACCUAAUAUCGGAAUUAAUGUACCAGAAAGGUUU
RNAcentral lists this long non-coding RNA (252 nucleotides) under Ananas comosus (pineapple). RNAcentral describes it as "long non-coding RNA (ACOM_LNC024806)". Lineage: Eukaryota; Viridiplantae; Streptophyta; Magnoliopsida; Poales; Bromeliaceae. The record is from RNAcentral.